GGAAUCUUCGGCAAUGGACGAAAGUCUGACCGAGCAACGCCGCGUGAGUGAAGAAGGUUUUCGGCUCGUAAAACACUGUUGUAAGAGAAGAAUGACAUUGAGAGUAACUGUUCAAUGUGUGACGGUAUCUUACCAGAAAGGAACGGCUAAAUACGUGCCAG
RNAcentral lists this ribosomal RNA (161 nucleotides) under uncultured bacterium. RNAcentral describes it as "partial 16S ribosomal RNA". It matches the Rfam family "Bacterial small subunit ribosomal RNA", at positions 358 to 511 of the family's 1533-position model. The record is from RNAcentral.